UACGGGGGGGGCAAGCGUUGUUCGGAAUUACUGGGCGUAAAGGGCUUGUAGGUGGCCAACUAAGUCCGACGUGAAAUCCCUAGGCUUAACCUAGGAACUGCGUCGGAUACUGGAUGGCUUGAAUCCGGGAGAGGGAUGCGGAAUUCCAGGUGUAGCGGUGAAAUGCGUAGAUAUCAGGAGGAACACCUGCGGUGUAGACGGCUUUCUGGACCAUUGCUGACGCUGAGGACACGAAAGCGUGGGUAGCAAACAGG
This 254-nucleotide ribosomal RNA is filed under the name uncultured bacterium. RNAcentral describes it as "partial 16S ribosomal RNA". It matches the Rfam family "Bacterial small subunit ribosomal RNA", at positions 524 to 776 of the family's 1533-position model. The record is from RNAcentral.